GCCGGAAUAGCUCAGUUGGUAGAGCAGAGGACUGAAAAUCCNCGUGUCACCANU
This 54-nucleotide transfer RNA is filed under the name Leucomium strumosum. RNAcentral describes it as "partial tRNA-Phe". The record is from RNAcentral. Lineage: Eukaryota; Viridiplantae; Streptophyta; Bryopsida; Hookeriales; Leucomiaceae.